GGUCANCUGUAAAUAAGGUCUUUAGGUAGUAGUAGUGCUCUUGAAACCCAAAAAGAUUGGCGGUAGUUGGAACGUUGCAGGGGAAUUUGUUUUUAUAAUAUGAUGGUGCGCAAUUAUAUUUUCUUGAGCUAUACAAGCUUGUAUACCGUUGUGGAGAUUAUUUUUAAGUAUUGAUUUCUUAAAACAAGGUUUUGUUAAAGGUCAAAUCAAGGUGUAGCUUAUGUUCAUAGUAUGGAUGAAUUACAAUAUACAAAUAUAUAAUGGAGUUUGAGUUUUGAUACUUAGAUGAAGGUGGAUUUGUUUGUAAAAUUUAAAUAGAAUGUUUUUUUGAAGUUAGUUCUGAAUUAUGC
This 350-nucleotide ribosomal RNA is filed under the name Cryptops sarasini. RNAcentral's name for it is "partial 12S ribosomal RNA". Lineage: Eukaryota; Metazoa; Arthropoda; Chilopoda; Scolopendromorpha; Cryptopidae. The record is from RNAcentral.